Molecule: ribosomal RNA, 714 nt
Filed under: uncultured bacterium
Lineage: Bacteria
Description: bacterial SSU rRNA
Rfam family: Bacterial small subunit ribosomal RNA
Source: RNAcentral
AUUAGAGUUUGAUCCUGGCUCAGGACGAACGCUGGCGGCGUGCUUAACACAUGCAAGUCGAACGGAAGUUGUGAGGAAGCUUGCGAAUCACAACUUUAGUGGCGGACGGGUGAGUAACGCGUGGAUAACCUGCCUUGAUGACCGGGAUAACACUGGGAAACCGGCGCUAAUACCGGAUAUGCUCACGAAAGACACAAGUCUGGGUGAGGAAAGGAGCAAUCCGCAUCGAGAGGGGUCCGCGUCCCAUUAGCUGGUUGGAGGUGUAAGAGACCCCCAAGGCGACGAUGGGUAGCCGGCCUGAGAGGGUGGACGGCCACACUGGAACUGAGACACGGUCCAGACUCCUACGGGAGGCAGCAGUGGGGAAUCUUCCGCAAUGGGCGCAAGCCUGACGGAGCAACGCCGCGUGAAUGAAGAAGGCUUUCGGGUUGUAAAAUUCUGUCUUCAGGGAAGAAGAAAGUGACGGUACCUGAGGAGGAAGCCCUGGCUAACUACGUGCCAGCAGCCGCGGUAAAACGUAGGGGGCGAGCGUUGUCCGGAAUUACUGGGCGUAAAGGGCGCGUAGGCGGUUUAUUAAGUCUCUAGGUAAAAACUAUCGGCUCAACCGGUAGCGGUCCUGAGAAACUGGUAGACUUGAGGGCAGGAGAGGGGAGUGGAAUUCCCAGUGUAGCGGUGAAAUGCGUAGAUAUUGGGAGGAACACCAGUGGCGAAGGC